This 509-nucleotide ribosomal RNA is filed under the name uncultured microorganism. Its description in RNAcentral is "bacterial SSU rRNA". It matches the Rfam family "Bacterial small subunit ribosomal RNA", at positions 9 to 518 of the family's 1533-position model. The record is from RNAcentral.
GAGUUUGAUCCUGGCUCAGGAUGAACGCUGGCGGCAUGCCUAACACAUGCAAGUCGAACGGGGUUUAUAUAACAGAACUCUUCGGAGGGAAGAUAUAUAAACCUAGUGGCGGACGGGUGAGUAACGCGUGGGCAACCUGCCCUGUACCGGGGACAACAGCCAGAAAUGGCUGCUAAUACCGCAUAAGCCUGCGGUGCCGCAUGGCACAGCAGGGAAAACCACGGUGGUACAGGAUGGGCCCGCGUCUGAUUAGUUAGUUGGCAGGGUAACGGCCUACCAAGACGAUGAUCAGUAGCCGGCUUGAGAGAGUGGACGGCCACAUUGGGACUGAGACACGGCCCAGACUCCUGCGGGAGGCAGCAGUGGGGAAUAUUGCACAAUGGGGGGAACCCUGAUGCAGCAAUGCCGCGUGGGUGAAGAAGCACUCCGGUGCGUAAAGCCCUGUCAGCAGGGAAGAAAAUGACAGUACCUGACCAAGAAGCCCCGGCUAACUACGUGCCAGCCGCCGC